AGCAGCCGCGGUAAUUCCAGCUCCAAUAGCGUAUAUUAAAGUUGUUGCAGUUAAAAAGCUCGUAGUUGAAUUUCGGGAUCAAUAUGUCGGUCGUGCCUUGGUACGUACUGGUAUCAUUGGUCUCUCCUUUCUGACGAACCAUGAUGUCAUUAAUUUGGUGUUAUGGGAAGUUAGGACUGUUACUUUGAAAAAAUUAGAGUGUUUAAAGCAGGCUUUAGCUUGAAUACAUUAGCAUGGAAUAAUGAAAUAGGACGUUCGAACCUAUUUUGUUGGUUUCUAGGAUCAACGUAAUGAUUAAUAGGGAUAGUUGGGGGCAUUAGUAUUCAAUUGUCAGAGGUGAAAUUCUUGGAUUUAUUGAAGACUAACUACUGCGAAAGCAUUUGCCAAGGAUGUUUUCAUUAAUCAAGAACGAAAGUUAGGGGAUCGAAGACGAUCAGAUACCGUCGUAGUCUUAACCAUAAACUAUGCCGACU
Molecule: ribosomal RNA, 473 nt
Filed under: uncultured Glomus
Lineage: Eukaryota; Fungi; Glomeromycota; Glomeromycetes; Glomerales; Glomeraceae
Description: SSU rRNA
Rfam family: Eukaryotic small subunit ribosomal RNA
Source: RNAcentral